Molecule: long non-coding RNA, 497 nt
Filed under: Nicotiana benthamiana
Lineage: Eukaryota; Viridiplantae; Streptophyta; Magnoliopsida; Solanales; Solanaceae
Description: long non-coding RNA (NBEN_LNC003826)
Source: RNAcentral
GGGGCUCGGCGCCGAUCCUUGAUGGAGCCCCAUAACCACAUGAAAAUAGUCUGAUUCGCCACCCACCGUCCUAACCCUAGUCUUAGCUCCAUUGUACAUGUCCUUGAUUACUCUGAUGUAGGUUUCCGGCAUGCUCUUCGCCUCCAAGCACCUCCCUUGGGACCUUGUCAUACGCCUUCUCCAAGUCGAUAAGCACCAUGUGCAUGGCAAAUAACAUACACCACGGCACGUCCCCUUGAAUAUGACGGGUAAGAGCAUCUAUCACUAAGGCAAACAAGAGGGGGCUCAGCGCCGAACCUUGAUGGAGCCCCGUAACCACUGGAAAACGGCCUGAUUCACCACCCACCUUCUUAACCCUAGUCUUAGCUCCAUUGUACAUGUCCUUGAUUACUCCGAUGUAGGCUUCCGGCACGCUCUUCGUCUCCAAGCACCUCCACAGCACCUCCCUUGGGACUUUGUCAUACGCCUUCUCCAAGUCGAUAAGCACCAUGUGUAGG